This 1346-nucleotide ribosomal RNA is filed under the name uncultured bacterium. RNAcentral describes it as "partial 16S ribosomal RNA". It matches the Rfam family "Bacterial small subunit ribosomal RNA", at positions 28 to 1381 of the family's 1533-position model. The record is from RNAcentral.
GACGAACGCUGGCGGCGUGCUUAACACAUGCAAGUCGAACGGAAAGGCCCUGCUUUUGUGGGGUGCUCGAGUGGCGAACGGGUGAGUAACACGUGAGUAACCUGCCCUUGACUUUGGGAUAACUUCAGGAAACUGGGGCUAAUACCGGAUAGGAGCUCCUGCUGCAUGGUGGGGGUUGGAAAGUUUCGGCGGUUGGGGAUGGACUCGCGGCUUAUCAGCUUGUUGGUGGGGUAGUGGCUUACCAAGGCUUUGACGGGUAGCCGGCCUGAGAGGGUGACCGGCCACAUUGGGACUGAGAUACGGCCCAGACUCCUACGGGAGGCAGCAGUGGGGAAUAUUGCACAAUGGGCGGAAGCCUGAUGCAGCAACGCCGCGUGCGGGAUGACGGCCUUCGGGUUGUAAACCGCUUUCGCCUGUGACGAAGCGUGAGUGACGGUAAUGGGUAAAGAAGCACCGGCUAACUACGUGCCAGCAGCCGCGGUGAUACGUAGGGUGCGAGCGUUGUCCGGAUUUAUUGGGCGUAAAGGGCUCGUAGGUGGUUGAUCGCGUCGGAAGUGUAAUCUUGGGGCUUAACCCUGAGCGUGCUUUCGAUACGGGUUGACUUGAGGAAGGUAGGGGAGAAUGGAAUUCCUGGUGGAGCGGUGGAAUGCGCAGAUAUCAGGAGGAACACCAGUGGCGAAGGCGGUUCUCUGGGCCUUUCCUGACGCUGAGGAGCGAAAGCGUGGGGAGCGAACAGGCUUAGAUACCCUGGUAGUCCACGCUGUAAACGGUGGGUACUAGGUGUGGGGUCCAUUCCACGGGUUCCGUGCCGUAGCUAACGCUUUAAGUACCCCGCCUGGGAAGUACGGCCGCAAGGCUAAAACUCAAAGGAAUUGACGGGGCCCCGCACAAGCGGCGGAGCAUGCGGAUUAAUUCGAUGCAACGCGUAGAACCUUACUUGGGUUUGACAUGGAUCGGGAGUGCUCAGAGAUGGGUGUGCCUCUUUUGGGGUCGGUUCACAGGUGGUGCAUGGCUGUCGUCAGCUCGUGUCGUGAGAUGUUGGGUUAAGUCCCGCAACGAGCGCAACCCUUGUUCACUGUUGCCAGCACGUUAUGGUGGGGACUCAGUGGAGACCGCCGGGGUCAACUCGGAGGAAGGUGGGGAUGACGUCAAGUCAUCAUGCCCCUUAUGUCCAGGGCUUCACGCAUGCUACAAUGGCUGGUACAGAGAGUGGCGAGCCUGUGAGGGUGAGCGAAUCUCGGAAAGCCGGUCUCAGUUCGGAUUGGGGUCUGCAACUCGACCUCAUGAAGUCGGAGUCGCUAGUAAUCGCAGAUCAGCAACGCUGCGGUGAAUACGUUCCCGGGGCU